This is a long non-coding RNA of Cicer arietinum (chickpea), 1105 nucleotides long. RefSeq lists it as uncharacterized. Lineage: Eukaryota; Viridiplantae; Streptophyta; Magnoliopsida; Fabales; Fabaceae. The record is from RefSeq and is a predicted model, not a curated record.
UCUUCUUCUAUUAUGGAUUCGCCUCUGGCCUCGGGGCACACAAAAAAAAAUUAGUGUUGGUGGUUUGUUGGAAACACACAAAUCUCCAUUUUGUCAAAAUCCAAAUCGUAUUUGAAGAAACUCUUUGAAGACAAAACCUUUCCCUCCUCAUUGUGAAGCUUUCAAGCAAACUCACUUGAGUCAUUUGCCAUCCUUGCAAAAUCAUCUUCUUCUUCGAAAUUGCCGACUCUACUCCAAAGGUACACUGAAAGAGUCAUUCGCCAUCCUCGCAAAAUCAUCUUCUUCUUCGAAAUUGCCGACUCUUCUCCAAAGAUACACUGAAAGAGGUAUAGGUUGGCCAAAGAUACACUGAAAGAGUCAUUCGUCAUCCUCGCAAAAUUAUCUUAUUCUUCGAAAUUGCCGACUCUACUCCAAAGAUACACUGAAAGAGUUUCUUACAUGAAAUUCUAUCACUGCGACUAUCCGGUAAAAAUCCAAGUUGGGAUGGGACCGGCCAGCAAAUUACGCUACCCAUCAUACCCAGAGCAAAAUGGUACAUGAAAAAUUCAAGGAAUUGGUGUUUUUCAAUGUUAUGACAAGAUAAUACUCGAGUUCGUUCCACCAACUGUUACCCUGACGACAGAAACGUCGUUAAACUUCUCUGACCGACAGCAUACAACCCUAUCUCAAGUAGGGCUACAUAUAUGGGGAGAGUGGUAGGACAAGUAGGAGAGUUGGGGCAGUACUUUUCGUGGUUGGAUCUGACUACUGAUGAGACUAGUCUCUCUAUGGCUGAUGAGGAGGAAGAAGUUACUUCGAGGAGAGAUACUACGUCAGAAGGAACUUGUGUAGUGUGUGGAGGUCACCCUUAUUAUUGUAGUUAUUAGUGGAUGAUCAGAUUAGGUUUUUUGUUGUAUAAGGCCUUAAUGUCUUUCUUUUGGUAGUUGUACAUAUUUUGUUUUGGAAUGACUAUAUCUAUAACAUACCUUGACAGAUGACUUUUUUGUGGGUCCAUGUUCUAUUUUUUUUUUUGUGACCAUGGGGGUACUUCUGCGUAGGUGUAUGUCGAGUAUAUCUCAAGGGUAUGAACGAUAUUUGAUAUGUCUCAUAGUUCCGGUGUAUUUUA